This 331-nucleotide unclassified non-coding RNA is filed under the name soil metagenome. RNAcentral's name for it is "partial contains 5.8S ribosomal RNA, internal transcribed spacer 2, and large subunit ribosomal RNA". The stretch from base 1 to 120 matches the Rfam family "5.8S ribosomal RNA", at positions 35 to 154 of the family's 154-position model. The record is from RNAcentral.
GAUGAAGAACGCAGCGAAAUGCGAUAAUUAAUGUGAAUUGCAGAAUUUAGUGAAUCAUCGAAUCUUUGAACGCACAUUGCGCCCCCUGGUAUUCCGGGGGGCAUGCCUGUUCGAGCGUCAUUUCACCACUCAAGCCUCGCUUGGUAUUGGGCAACGCGGUCCGCCGCGUGCCUCAAAUCGACCGGCUGGGUCUUCUGUCCCCUAAGCGUUGUGGAAACUAUUCGCUAAAGGGUGUUCGGGAGGCUACGCCGUAAAACAACCCCAUUUCUAAGGUUGACCUCGGAUCAGGUAGGGAUACCCGCUGAACUUAAGCAUAUCAAUAAGCGGAGGA